Phascolarctos cinereus (koala) is the source of this 300-nucleotide long non-coding RNA. RefSeq lists it as uncharacterized. The record is from RefSeq and is a predicted model, not a curated record. NCBI's taxonomy places the organism in Eukaryota, Metazoa, Chordata, Mammalia, Diprotodontia, Phascolarctidae.
GCCGCUGCUGCCGUCCUCCUUCUCUGCUUCGGGACCUCGGCGUGGGGCCGUCAUGCGUGGCAAGGCCUGACCCUGCAGACAAGGUUUGACUUGGAGAGAUGGGGAUGGAAGAAGAGGUUAGAGAUGGCAGAAACAGGGAUGAAAGAAGGGACAGAGAUGACUGUAGAAGAUUGCUCCUUGAGGCACCAAGAAAACCUGCACAGUCACUGUAUAAUACACAAGCGUACACUUCUUCUGCCGGCUGAAUAAAUAAUGUGCCUCACACAUCUCAGAGUAUUGCUACUUCUCAAAUGUAUGUGG